Molecule: ribosomal RNA, 253 nt
Filed under: uncultured bacterium
Lineage: Bacteria
Description: partial 16S ribosomal RNA
Rfam family: Bacterial small subunit ribosomal RNA
Source: RNAcentral
UACGUAGGCAGCAAGCGUUGUUCGGAGUUACUGGGCGUAAAGGGUGUGUAGGCGGUUGCUUAAGUUUGGUGUGAAAUCUCCCGGCUCAACUGGGAGGGUGCGCCGAAUACUGAGUGACUAGAGUGCGGGAGAGGAAAGUGGAAUUCCUGGUGUAGCGGUGAAAUGCGUAGAUAUCAGGAGGAACAUCGGUGGUGUAGACGGCUUUCUGGCCCAUUACUGACGUUCAGGUACGAAAGCGUGGGUAGCAAACAGG